Molecule: ribosomal RNA, 301 nt
Filed under: uncultured bacterium
Lineage: Bacteria
Description: partial 16S ribosomal RNA
Rfam family: Bacterial small subunit ribosomal RNA
Source: RNAcentral
CAGUAGCCGCGGGAAUACGUAGGGUGCGAGCGUUAAUCGGAAUUACUGGGCGUAAAGCGGGCGCAGACGGUUACUUAAGCAGGAUGUGAAAUCCCCGGGCUCAACCUGGGAACUGCGUUCAGAACCGGGUGACUAGAGUGUGUCAGAGGGAGGUAGAAUUCCACGUGUAGCAGUGAAAUGCGUAGAGAUGUGGAGGAAUACCGAUGGCGAAGGCAGCCUCCUGGGAUAACACUGACGUUCAUGCCCGAAAGCGUGGGUAGCAAACAGGAUUAGAUACCCCCGUAGUCCCUGUCUCUUAUAC